This 488-nucleotide unclassified non-coding RNA is filed under the name Hevea brasiliensis (rubber tree). Lineage: Eukaryota; Viridiplantae; Streptophyta; Magnoliopsida; Malpighiales; Euphorbiaceae. The record is from RNAcentral.
AUUUUUUUAUAUAUUUAAUUUGAAUAAGAAAUAUAUGUAUAUUAUUAAAAGUAUGUUGCAAAUUUAUGUUUUUAACUUAUAAUUUAAUUUUUCAAUAGGUCUAAUCUAGUUGAGGCCUCUCUCUCUAGUGGGAUAGAGAGAUCUCUAUCAAGUUUUCAGGGUUCUAGAGACUUUGUACUCUAAUCCUGUUGGUUUCAACAGCUAUUCCUUGUCCUUUCGAGCAAGAGAUGGUCAUCCUUUCUUCGACCGGACUUGUCUCCUCAUCUCUGGGCGAGUCCUUCUUUCACCCGGGCGGGAUUUUGCUCUCCUGACCUUUGGGCGAGGUUGUAUAUAAUUUUGGUUUGUAGAAAUAUGGAGGUUACAGUUAGAUAAGUAGAGAUCAUUAAAUUAAGUUAGAGAAUAGAAAGAAAAAAUGGGGUAGGCUUAAAUUGACUUGGAGGAAAGUGGUGUAACAUGACCUAGAAGCAUUAGACAUUUAUGAGUAUUUG